Pseudopipra pipra is the source of this 851-nucleotide long non-coding RNA. RefSeq lists it as uncharacterized. The transcript has 2 exons. The record is from RefSeq and is a predicted model, not a curated record. Lineage: Eukaryota; Metazoa; Chordata; Aves; Passeriformes; Pipridae.
UGCCUCUUUCCCUUCGGUCGACGUGGACACUGUGCCGGACACCUCUGGCAGGACUAACCCCGUGGCUUUUAUGUCCAGCGUGCUGUGCUGUGUGUGCCUGCAGGUAAGAAAAGCUGGGAGUGCAGUCCCUCUGCUUUGAUUGCUGUGUCUCUUGGGUAGCGAUUUUGGAGGGGAAUCCCAGAGCGAUUUGGUUUGAAGGGGACCUUCAAAGGCCAGCCUGUCUUCCGUGGGCAGGGACACCUUCCACUGUCCCCGGUUGCUCCGAGUCCCAUCCAGCCUGGCCUGGAACACUUGCAGGGAUGGGGCAGGCUCAGUUUCCAUGUGCAGUGUGCUCUAAUAUCUCUCCACUGGCAUCCUGAAAAAUGUUGUCAGUGUGUUUUGUUGGACGACGCUAGGCAGGACCUGGGUGAAAAGGACAUUCUCUGAGGUGCUGGGAGAAGGAGGACUCGUGCGGGCACCUCCAGAGACAGCGGGAACGGGAGCGUGCUGCGGAGAAGGAAAAUUCCAGGGGAAUUGCCACGAGAGGAAAUACCUCAGAGGGGCUUCCCUCCAGAUAAGCCCUGAAUAUGCCAGGAGGUUUCAGCCGGGAGAAAGGAGCUGUGGAAGAAAAGCAGCCUAAAAGUAGCCAGCGGGGAUCAUCAGGUUUUCCAGGCAAGAAGAACAAGGAGAGAGAUGAGGGAAUGGGGUUCCAAUUCCUAAUGAUUUGGUGGGUGCAGGAAUGAUUUGUGUGUGUUUUCCAGUCCCUUUUGAUUCCUGAGAUGAUUUUAAAAUGAUGGCUUUAGCAAUCAACUAAAUCGGAGAUGUUGUUUUUGAGAGGAAAUGGUGCCAAAUAAAUGCAGAGUUUUGGGUCA